Molecule: long non-coding RNA, 1257 nt
Organism: Vigna radiata var. radiata (mung bean)
Lineage: Eukaryota; Viridiplantae; Streptophyta; Magnoliopsida; Fabales; Fabaceae
Exons: 4
Source: RefSeq, a predicted model, not a curated record
UUCUUCAAUGCUUUUCGUUUCCCUCCAUGAUUUUAAACUCCCCCUAAAUAAAAACCUAAAAAGAACUUUUGCCCAUCAAAACGCCAAACCCUAAAACCAGUUCAUCGUUCCAAGAACCUGAACCUGCUUCAUCUUUGCUGCCAUGCUUUCUCAACGAGAAUCGUGAGAGAUGGGUGAAGUGCGAGACGUGAGAGGUACAGAGGUUUGGCGGAAAUGUUUUGCAAAGAAAACAUUUUGUUCUCCCUUACGAGUGGGCUCUGCAGAAGGAAGGACUGCACGGUUGCCAUUACUGGUACUUUGUGGCAAUUGACAUUGGAGGAAGCAGAAGAGAAGAUGAAGAAUAAAAAGAAAACUACAUAUGGGUAUCAUGUUUCUGAUAAGGGAGAAGAGGAUGAAGACAAGGAAUCCAAAGGAAGAGUAGACUUGGACUUAAUAAAAGAGCUUGUGAUGUUGAUGAAGAAGGUCCAAGGGGAGAGGACCGUGAUCUAGAUGAGGACAAUGUUGAGAAGGUAGGAACGGACUGAAGAGCUUCAUUGAUAGAUUUAAAUUGGCCAGAGCCAUGUUGAGACACAACCACAUCGGGAUUUUCAGUUCCCAUCUUAAGAAGGCGUCGUUUUUCUUAAGUCACGUUCAAAAUAUCCAACGCAUUGCUGCUAAGCUCCAAAGAGGUAUUCAAAACCUUAGUCAUUGUUUAAUUUUGGCAUUUGGUUGUUAAGGGACAAUUUAAAAAAGGUAUAACUGAAAGGAUCUCCUUGAAUAAAGAACUUUGGUUCUAAUAUAAGUUUUUGAUUUGUAAGCUUGAUGUUUGUUGUUGUUUUGAAGUUAUAUAUAUCAACCUUGAUUUUUGGUUAAGUUCUAAAUUUUACACUAUCUGUCAUAUCUAUUAAUUUAAGUAAAUGAUUUUAUAAUAUUAGAACAUGUUGCUGUCAAGUUAUAAUUGGGUUCACUUAGUUAAUCUUGAAGUAGAUUAAUGAGUAUUUGAGGUUAAAGUUACAUUAGAUAGGAAUAGGGAAAUCAAAAUAAAGCAGAGUAUGAAUGUCUAUGUGAAUUGAACUAGUUACAUCUUUUAUACUUAUUGUACCAGCACAAUACAGUAGCUAAUAAUAGCUACUCUGUUAUGGAUUAUUACUAUUUGAGCUAAACUUUCAUAUUGUAAGUGUUAGGAAUUGAUACGUUGUAAUUUAGAUUUUGAAUUAAUGAUAAAAACUGAAGGUUCAGGGUGUUUAAAGUGGGAUAAAGAUUUUUGGAGACUGAUGA